This 981-nucleotide ribosomal RNA is filed under the name human gut metagenome. RNAcentral's name for it is "bacterial LSU rRNA". It matches the Rfam family "Bacterial large subunit ribosomal RNA", at positions 1945 to 2925 of the family's 2925-position model. The record is from RNAcentral.
ACGGUCCUAAGGUAGCGAAAUUCCUUGUCGGGUAAGUUCCGACCUGCACGAAUGGCGUAACGAUCUCCACACUGUCUCGGCCAGAGACUCGGUGAAAUUGAAGUCGCGGUGAAAAUGCCGUGUACCCGCAGAAAGACGGAAAGACCCUGUGCACCUUUACUAUAGCUUGACAUUGGAUUUUGGGCCUGCAUGUGUAGGAUAGGUGGGAGGCUGUGAACCCUGUACGCCAGUAUGGGGGGAGGCAACGUUGAAAUACCACCCUUGUUUGUUCAGGUCCCUAACUCCUUGCCGUUACCCGGUAGGAGGACAGUGUCUGGUGGGUAGUUUGACUGGGGCGGUCGCCUCCCAAAAUGUAACGGAGGCAUGCAAAGGUUCCCUCAGGCUGAUUGGAAACCAGCCGUCGAGUGCAAACGCAAAAGGGAGCUUGACUGCAAGAGAGACAUCUCGAGCAGGUACGAAAGUAGGUGUUAGUGAUCCGGUGAUCCCGAAUGGAAGGGUCAUCGCUCAUUGGAUAAAAGGUACGCCGGGGAUAACAGGCUGAUCGCAUCCAAGAGUUCACAUCGACGAUGCGGUUUGGCACCUCGAUGUCGGCUCAUCACAUCCUGGGGCUGAAGCAGGUCCCAAGGGUACGGCUGUUCGCCGUUUAAAGUGGUACGCGAGCUGGGUUUAAAACGUCGUGAGACAGUUUGGUCCCUAUCUUCUGUGGGCGUAGGAGAAUUGAAAGGGCCUGUCCCUAGUACGAGAGGACCGGGAUGGACACACCACUGGUGGACCUGUUGUCGUGCCAACGGCACAGCAGGGUAGCUAUGUGUGGAAGGGAUAACCGCUGAAAGCAUCUAAGCGGGAAGCCUGCCUUAAGAUAAGUUCUCCCUGACGCAAGUCCUGAAGGGCCGAGGUAGACGACCUCGUUGAUAGGCUGGAGGUGGAAGCCCUGUGAGGGGUGGAGCUGACCAGUACUAAUAGCCCGUGCGUCUUGUUUCU